UCGAGGAGCUUUGGACACUUCCUAAGGUGCAGUAUUUCAAGAGCAGUAAGGAACUGUAACCCCCCAACCAACUUCAUUUCUGGGCAAUCCUCAAGGUGCAAAUGCUUGAGAGCACGCAAAUUUGAUAAACAAAGAGAUUCUUGCGCAGAACAUUUUCUAAGGUGUAGUAUUUCAAGAGCAGUAAGGUACUGUAACCCCCCAACUAACUUAAUCUUUCGGCAAUCCUCAAGGUGCAAAUGCUUGAGAGCACGCAAAUUUGAUAAACAAAGAGAUUCUUGCGCAGAACAUUUUCUAAGGUGUAGUAUUUCAAGAGCAGUAUGGAACUGUAACCCCCCAACCAACUUCAUUUCUGGGCAAUCGUCAAGGUGCAAAUGCUUGAGAGCACGCAAAUUUGAUAAACAAAGAGAUUCUUGCGCAGAACAUUUUCUAAGGUGUAGUAUUUCAAGAGCAGUAAGGGACUGUAACCCCCCAACCAACUUCAUUUCUGGGCAAUCCUCAAGGUGCAAAUGCUUGAGAGCACGCAAAUUUGAUAAACAAAGAGACCCACAUUUUCUAAGGUGUAGUAUUUUAAGAGCAGUAAGGUUCUGCA
This 589-nucleotide long non-coding RNA is filed under the name Elaeis guineensis (African oil palm). RNAcentral describes it as "long non-coding RNA (EGUI_LNC001281)". Lineage: Eukaryota; Viridiplantae; Streptophyta; Magnoliopsida; Arecales; Arecaceae. The record is from RNAcentral.